CCUACGGGAGGCAGCAGUAGGGAAUAUUGCACAAUGGGGGAAACCCUGAUGCAGCAACGCCGCGUGAGUGAUGACGGCCUUCGGGUUGUAAAGCCCUGUCUUUAGGGACGAUAAUGACGGUAUCUGAGGAAGAAGCAACGGCUAACUACGUGCCAGCAGCCGCGGUAAUACGUAGGGUGCAAGCGUUGUCCGGAUUUACUGGGCGUAAAGGGCGCGUAGGCGGGCUUGUAAGUGAGAUGUGAAAUACUCGGGCUCAACUUUAGGGCUGCAUUUGAAACUGGUAGUCUAGAGUGCAGGAGAGGAGGAUGGAAUUCUUGGUGUAGCGGUGAAAUGCGUAGAGAUUAGGAAGAACACUCGUGGCGAAGGCGAUUCUCUGGAAUGUAACUGACGCUGAGGCUCGAAAGCGUGGGGAGCAAACAGGAUUAGAUACCCUUGUAGUC
This 440-nucleotide ribosomal RNA is filed under the name uncultured bacterium. Its description in RNAcentral is "partial 16S ribosomal RNA". It matches the Rfam family "Bacterial small subunit ribosomal RNA", at positions 338 to 795 of the family's 1533-position model. The record is from RNAcentral.